CCUACGGGUGGCAGCAGUAGGGAAUUUUCGGCAAUGGGGGGAACCCUGACCGAGCAACGCCGCGUGAACGAAGAAGUUAUUCGUAAUGUAAAGUUCUUUUAACAGGGAAGAAAGAGAAAUUUGACGGUACCUGAAGAAUAAGCUCCGGCAAACUACGUGCCAGCAGCCGCGGUAAUACGUAGGGAGCGAGUGUUAUCCGGAAUUAUUGGGGGAAAGGGGUGCGUAGAUGGCAUAGUAAGUCUUUUGGAAAAAUGCUGGGCCAAACCCAGUAGGGCAAAAGAAACUGCAAAGCUAGAGUAUGACAGAGGCAAGUGGAACUACAUGUGUAGCGGUAAAAUGCGUAAAUAUAAGUAAGAACACCAGUGGCGAAGGCGGCUUGCUGGGCCGAUACUGACACUGAGGCACGAAAGCGUGGGGAGCAAACAGGAUUAGAUACCCGGGUAGUC
RNAcentral lists this ribosomal RNA (446 nucleotides) under uncultured bacterium. RNAcentral describes it as "partial 16S ribosomal RNA". It matches the Rfam family "Bacterial small subunit ribosomal RNA", at positions 338 to 795 of the family's 1533-position model. The record is from RNAcentral.